RNAcentral lists this ribosomal RNA (397 nucleotides) under uncultured Filosa. RNAcentral's name for it is "partial small subunit ribosomal RNA". It matches the Rfam family "Eukaryotic small subunit ribosomal RNA", at positions 30 to 432 of the family's 1831-position model. The record is from RNAcentral. Lineage: Eukaryota; Cercozoa.
GCUUGUCUCAAAGAUUAAGCCAUGCACGUCUAAGUAUAAGCGAUUAUACUGUGAAACUGCGAAUGGCUCAUUAUAUCAGUUAUAGUUUAUUUGAUGGUCCUUGCUACUUGGAUAACCGUAGUAAUUCUAGAGCUAAUACAUGCAUAAAGCCCUGACUGUUUGGAAGGGGUGUAUUUAUUAGAUAAAAAACCAAUCCGGCAACGGUGCUUGGUGAUUCAUAAUAACUGUUCGAAGCGCACGGCCUCGCGCCGGCGCUAGUUCAUUCAAAUUUCUGCCCUAUCAGCUUUCGACGGUAGUGUAGUGGACUACCGUGGCGCUAACGGGUGACGGAGAAUUAGGGUUCGGUUCCGGAGAGGGAGCCUGAGAAACGGCUACCACAUCCAAGGAAGGCAGCAGG